AAUCACUUUCACAAAGACCCACUUCAAAUCAAAAAGUUCAUUUCCUCCAAUAUUUCUCUCUCUAAACUCAAAGAAGAAGAAGUCAUAGAAGCUUGGAUUUGGGGAUUUCAGAAGAGUUUCUUCAUCAAUUUUCUUCAAUGUUUCUUAAUAAAGAUUUCGGCAAGAGAUAGAGUUCUCUAGAUUCAAGGGCUUGGGAAGAGUUCUCCAAGACCAAGUGUAUGUCCUCAUGAUGCGGGGACAAGUAUUUAGAAGUUUCUUGUAUUUAAUUCAUAAUAGGUUAUGUCUAGUUUUGUUUAAGUCUUUUGAUUGUGAAGGGUCGUGACCCUAUCUUUAGGUUCCGUGUCUUGGUUAGAUGGCCAUGUGAGAUGUUGGCUUCCGCUAUGAUUUUGAAUGUCGUGUUCUUGAAGUGAAGGGUUUUUAAAUGAAAAGUUUUAAUUCCUAGCCAUUUUUUA
Long non-coding RNA from Solanum lycopersicum (tomato), 452 nucleotides. RefSeq lists it as uncharacterized. The record is from RefSeq and is a predicted model, not a curated record. Lineage: Eukaryota; Viridiplantae; Streptophyta; Magnoliopsida; Solanales; Solanaceae.